RNAcentral lists this ribosomal RNA (468 nucleotides) under uncultured bacterium. Its description in RNAcentral is "partial 16S ribosomal RNA". It matches the Rfam family "Bacterial small subunit ribosomal RNA", at positions 28 to 507 of the family's 1533-position model. The record is from RNAcentral.
GACGAACGCUGGCGGCGUGCUUAACACAUGCAAGUCGAACGGAAAGGCCCUGCUUUUGUGGGGUGCUCGAGUGGCGAACGGGUGAGUAACACGUGAGUAACCUGCCCUCGACUUUGGGAUAACUUCAGGAAACUGGGGCUAAUACCGGAUAGGAGCUCCUGCUGCAUGGUGGGGGUUGGAAAGUUUCGGCGGUUGGGGAUGGACUCGCGGCUUAUCAGCUUGUUGGUGGGGUAGUGGCUUACCAAGGCUUUGACGGGUAGCCGGCGUGAGAGGGUGACCGGCCACAUUGGGCCUGAGAUACGGCCCAGACUCCUGCGGGAGGCAGCAGUGGGGAAUAUUGCACAAUGGGCGGAGGCCUGAUGCAGCAACGCCGCGUGCUGGAUGACGGCCUUCGGGUUGUAAACCGCUUUCGCCUGUGACGAAGCGUGAGUGACGGUAAUGGGUAAAGAAGCACCGGCUAACUACGUG